RNAcentral lists this ribosomal RNA (301 nucleotides) under uncultured bacterium. RNAcentral's name for it is "partial 16S ribosomal RNA". It matches the Rfam family "Bacterial small subunit ribosomal RNA", at positions 509 to 807 of the family's 1533-position model. The record is from RNAcentral.
CAGCCGCCGCGGUAAUACGGAGGAUCCGAGCGUUAUCCGGAAUUAUUGGGUUUAAAGGGUGCGUAGGCGGAUAGAUAAGUCAGUGGUGAAAGACGGUGGCUCAACCAUCGCAGUGCCGUUGAUACUGUUUAUCUUGAAUAUGGAUGAGGUAGGCGGAAUGUGGCAAGUAGCGGUGAAAUGCAUAGAUAUGCCACAGAACACCGAUUGCGAAGGCAGCUUACCAAGGCAAAAUUGACGCUGAGGCACGAAAGCGUGGGGAUCGAACAGGAUUAGAUACCCCAGUAGUCCCUGUCUCUUAUAC